GCUAUAUUAACCUCUUUGGCCAAGAUUCGGGACUCUGGUAGGCGGAAGGACAAUUGAACAUGUGGAAGAUUGAUAAAACAACAGAAAGCUUACCCCUUUUUGUAACUUAUCCUCUAUUGCUACUGCACCUAGCAGGAUCAAAUCUUUCUCAAUCAUUUCAGAGACAUUUUCUAGUAAGUCCUCUCUUUCUGGACCUAUAGUAGCCUUGGCUUGUGUAAAUAGUGAGUUCCAU
Molecule: unclassified non-coding RNA, 232 nt
Filed under: Hevea brasiliensis (rubber tree)
Lineage: Eukaryota; Viridiplantae; Streptophyta; Magnoliopsida; Malpighiales; Euphorbiaceae
Source: RNAcentral